This 328-nucleotide unclassified non-coding RNA is filed under the name Hevea brasiliensis (rubber tree). The record is from RNAcentral. Lineage: Eukaryota; Viridiplantae; Streptophyta; Magnoliopsida; Malpighiales; Euphorbiaceae.
GAACUUGGAAGCUUAGUUAUUGUAAAUAGCCAAGACCCGAGAGUAGUAAUGUAAGGUUUUGCUGUCUACUUUUUUGUUUCUUAUUUUUUUCCUUAUCUAUCUCUUGCUAGAGUUCGGGCUAUGAAGUUUACAUUUUGGAAGCUACGUAUAAGGACCCUGCAGGCUGUGCAGCAAGGAAUGUGCAUGGGUUUAACCUCGAUGAUAUACAAAAGAUGGCUAGACAAUGGGAAGAAGCUCCGCCUUUGUACUUAAAAUUGGACAUCAAGUCCUUAUGUCAUGGGGAUGACCUUAAAGAAAGUGGAAUUCAGGAGGUUGACAUGGAUAUGGA